GUUGGUAGGGUAAAGGCCUACCAAGGCGAUGAUCUAUAGCUGGUCUGAGAGGAUGAUCAGCCACACUGGAACUGAGAUACGGUCCAGACUCCUACGGGAGGCAGCAGUGGGGAAUAUUGGACAAUGGGCGCAAGCCUGAUCCAGCUAUGCCGCGUGAGUGAGGAAGGCCUUAGGGUUGUAAAACUCUUUCAGUAGGGAAGAUAAUGACGGUACCUACAGAAGAAGUCCCGGCAAACUCCGUGCCAGCAGCCGCGGUAAUACGGAGGGGGCAAGCGUUGUUCGGAAUUAUUGGGCGUAAAGGGCAUGUAGGCGGUUCGGUAAGUUAAAGGUGAAAUGCCAGGGCUUAACCCUGGAGCUGCUUUUAAUACUGCCAGACUAGAGUCCGGGAGAGGAUAGCGGAAUUCCUAGUGUA
Molecule: ribosomal RNA, 412 nt
Filed under: Anaplasma phagocytophilum
Lineage: Bacteria; Pseudomonadati; Pseudomonadota; Alphaproteobacteria; Rickettsiales; Anaplasmataceae
Description: bacterial SSU rRNA
Rfam family: Bacterial small subunit ribosomal RNA
Source: RNAcentral